This 272-nucleotide ribosomal RNA is filed under the name uncultured bacterium. Its description in RNAcentral is "partial 16S ribosomal RNA". It matches the Rfam family "Bacterial small subunit ribosomal RNA", at positions 334 to 598 of the family's 1533-position model. The record is from RNAcentral.
UACGGCCUACGGGGGGCAGCAGUGGGGAAUCUUCCGCAAUGGGCGAAAGCCUGACGGAGCAACGCCGCGUGAUCGAAUGAAGGCCUUCGGGUUGUAAAGAUCUGUUGACAGGGACGAAUAAGCAAUGCGAAUAGUUUUGUGUAUGACGGUACUUGUUUAGAAAGCUCCGGCUAACUACGUGCCAGCAGCCGCGGUAAUACGUAGGAUGCGAGCGUUAUCCGGAUUUAUUGGGUUUAAAGGGUGCGUAGGCGGGCUGUUAAGUCAGCGGUACA